UAAAAGUCCCAGACAGCAGCCAUGGGCCAUCCCGUGUAAACACGGUCUGUUUCAUGGAUAUUGGACGGGCUAACCUGUAUGAACAAGAAGAGCGACAGAUCCGAUUGUGAAUACAGGCAGCGAUGUCGAGAGUGCACAGCACGAAGACAUCGACUUUCA
This 159-nucleotide small RNA is filed under the name Clostridiales bacterium CHKCI001. RNAcentral describes it as "Clostridiales-1 RNA". It matches the Rfam family "Clostridiales-1 RNA". Lineage: Bacteria; Bacillati; Bacillota; Clostridia; Eubacteriales. The record is from Rfam by way of RNAcentral.